GAUGGAUCUGUCAGAACACGGCUUCGGGCUGGCCCUGCUCAACGACUGCAAGUAUGGCGCGUCAGUGCGAGGCAGCAUCCUCAGCCUCUCGCUGUAAGUGGGGUACCCACCUGGGAGCUGGCAUGGGGAAAUGGGUCUUCCCGACCACAACUCCACCAGCUUCAGCCUGGCGCCUACCCGCCCUCCUAACCGCAGCUUGCGGGCGCCUAAAGCCCCGGACGCUACUGCUGACACGGGGCGCCACGAGUUCACCUACGCGCUGAUGCCGCACGAGGCCCCCAGCCCAGCGCCCGCCACCUCCUGGAGUGCCUUUUCCGUGUCUUCACCCGCGGUCUUAUUGGAGACCGUCAAGCAGGCAAGGGCAGCCCCCAGCGCCGCUCGCUGGUCCUGAGGCUGUAUGAGGCCCACGGCAGCCACGUGGACUGCUGGCUGCACUUGUCGCUGCCGGUUCAGGAGGCCAUCCUGUGAGUGGCUGUGCGGGAUGGGGGCGGGGGUCGAGUCUCGCCCUCGCAGAGCCUUCACGGCCCCUCCUGUUCUCCAGCUGCGAUCUCUUGGAGCGACCAGACCCUGCUGGCCACUUGACCCUUCGGGACAGCCGCCUGAAGCUCACCUUUUCUCCCUUCCAAGUGCUGUCCCUGUUGCUCGUGCUUCAGCCUCCACCACACUGAGUCCCUGGGGCUGGUGUUUUGUUUGUGGAAGGCUCUGGGGACUCCUAAUUUCUGCUUCCUCAGCCUAAAGCAGGGAUCAGUCUCUUCUUGUGGAAUAAAUCCUUGGAUCAGGAA
RNAcentral lists this small RNA (782 nucleotides) under Pongo abelii (Sumatran orangutan). Its description in RNAcentral is "retained intron". Lineage: Eukaryota; Metazoa; Chordata; Mammalia; Primates; Hominidae. The record is from RNAcentral.